Molecule: ribosomal RNA, 778 nt
Filed under: uncultured Neocallimastigales
Lineage: Eukaryota; Fungi; Neocallimastigomycota; Neocallimastigomycetes; Neocallimastigales
Description: partial large subunit ribosomal RNA
Rfam family: Eukaryotic large subunit ribosomal RNA
Source: RNAcentral
AAGAGAGAGACAUGCGCGCAUAUCAAUAAGCGGAGGAAAAGAAACUAACAAGGAUUCCCUUAGUAACGGCGAGUGAAGCGGGAAGAGCUCAAAUUUGAAAUCUUCAAGGUUUUACCUUGACGAAUUGUAGUUUAAAGAAGUGUUUUCUGCUGAAGUUUUGGUAAAAGUUCUUUGGAAUAGGACAUCAUAGAGGGUGAGAAUCCCGUAUUUGACCAUUAUUUUCAGCUUUGUGAUACACUUUCAAAGAGUCGGAUUGUUUGGGAAUGCAGUCCAAAAUGGGUGGUAAAUUUCAUCUAAAGCUAAAUAUUGGCGAGAGACCGAUAGCGAACAAGUACCGUGAGGGAAAGAUGAAAAGAACUUUGAAAAGAGAGUUAAACAGUACGUGAAAUUGUCAAAAGGGAAGCGUUUGACACCAGCUGUUGUUUUCUCGAAAAUCAAUUAAAAAAGGCAGGAUUUUGUGUUGUAUUGACUUUAUCAGCUUUCUGCACUCUUUUCUUGUCUUUUUUUAAUGCACUUUUCGUUUAACAAGUCAACAUCAAUUUCUUUUGUUGUAAAAGGGUCAUUGGAAGGUGGCUUUCUUUUCGGAGAAAGUGUUUAUAGCCUUUGGCCUCUGCAAUCGGAAGAGACUGAGGUCUGCAGCGUAGACUCUUCGGGGUUAGAUACAUUUGUGCUAAGUUAUAGCUUUAUAUAGACAACUUGUUGACUAUAAUUAGUCUUGUAGCUUACUCGCUUAUGCUAUUUUACCUACGCUUAGGAUGUUGAAGUCAUCGUAUCGCGC